Molecule: ribosomal RNA, 495 nt
Filed under: uncultured bacterium
Lineage: Bacteria
Description: partial 16S ribosomal RNA
Rfam family: Bacterial small subunit ribosomal RNA
Source: RNAcentral
GACGAACGCUGGCGGCGUGCCUAAUACAUGCAAGUAGAACGCUGAAGGAGGAGCUUGCUUCUCUGUAUGAGUUGCGAACGGGUGAGUAACGCGUAGGUAACCUGCCUGGUAGAGGGGGAUAACUAUUGGAAACGAUAGCUAAUAUCGCAUAAUAGCAGUUGUUGCAUGACAACUGUUUGAAAGAUGCAAUUGCACCACAACCAGAUGGACAUGCGUUGUAUUUGCUAGUGGGUGGGGUAACGGCUCACCAAGGCGACGAUACAUAGCCGACCUGAGAGGGUGGUCGGCCACACUGGGACUGAGACACGGCCCAGACUCCUACGGGAGGCAGCAGUAGGGAAUCUUCGGCAAUGGACGGAAGUCUGACCGAGCAACGCCGCGUGAGUGAAGAAGGUUUUCGGAUCGUAAAGCUCUGUUGUAAGAGAAGAACGAGUGUGAGAGUGGAAAGUUCACACUGUGACGGUAUCUUACCAGAAAGGGACGGCUAACUACGUG